This 493-nucleotide ribosomal RNA is filed under the name uncultured bacterium. RNAcentral describes it as "partial 16S ribosomal RNA". It matches the Rfam family "Bacterial small subunit ribosomal RNA", at positions 30 to 507 of the family's 1533-position model. The record is from RNAcentral.
AUUGAACGCUGGCGGCAUGCUUUACACAUGCAAGUCGAACGGCAGCGCGGAGAAGCUUGCUUCUCUGUCGGCGAGUGGCGAACGGGUGAGUAUAGCAUCGGAACGUGCCAAGUAGUGGGGGAUAACCAAACGAAAGUUUGGCUAAUACCGCGUAAGCUCUAAGGGGGAAAGUAGGGGACCUAAAUAAGGCCUUACGCUAUUUGAUCGGCCGAUGUCGGAUUAGCUAGUUGGUGGGGUAAUGGCUCACCAAGGCAAUGAUCCGUAGCGGGUCUGAGAGGACGAUCCGCCACACUGGGACUGAGACACGGCCCAGACUCCUACGGGAGGCAGCAGUGGGGAAUUUUGGACAAUGGGGGAAACCCUGAUCCAGCCAUGCCGCGUGUAUGAAGAAGGCCUUAGGGUUGUAAAGUACUUUUGUUAGGGAAGAAAAGCUAGUUUUUAAUAAAAAUUAGUGAUGACGGUACCUAAAGAAUAAGCACCGGCUAACUACGUG